GGAUGUGAGGACGAUCUGGCGGCGACCUGUGUCACCCCAUUGAUCACCAGGUCUGAUUCAGCUGAUCUGGCUGGCUAGGCGGGCGUUCCCUUCCUCCCUCACCACUCCAUGUGUGUCCCUCCAGAAGCUAUGGGCUCGAUCUAAGAGGACAGCCAUCCCCGAUAGAGGAGGACUCUUUCCUCGGUCAAGGGUAUAUAAGUAGUUGUGCUCCCCCACUAGAACCUCCAAACAACCUCUCAAAAGCUCUUAUAAGUACCAUUUUUAAAAGACUGGUUGUUAUUUACAUUGUUAUUAAAAUUAUAGUCCUUUAUCCCAGUUCAAUAUUAAAAAAUGCACAUUGCUGUUUAGGAAUU
Unclassified non-coding RNA from Fukomys damarensis (Damara mole-rat), 353 nucleotides. Its record names the gene 7SK. It matches the Rfam family "7SK RNA". From Rfam's summary of the family: 7SK was discovered as an abundant small nuclear RNA in the mid-70s but a possible function has only recently been suggested. The record is from Ensembl. Lineage: Eukaryota; Metazoa; Chordata; Mammalia; Rodentia; Bathyergidae.